This 253-nucleotide ribosomal RNA is filed under the name uncultured bacterium. Its description in RNAcentral is "partial 16S ribosomal RNA". It matches the Rfam family "Bacterial small subunit ribosomal RNA", at positions 524 to 776 of the family's 1533-position model. The record is from RNAcentral.
UACGAAGGGGGCUAGCGUUAAUCGGAAUUACUGGGCGUAAAGCGUGCGCAGGCGGUUCGUUGUGUCGGCGGUGAAAGCCCCGGGCUCAACCUGGGAAUGGCCGUUGAAACUGGCGAACUGGAGUGUGGCAGAGGGGGGUGGAAUUCCGCGUGUAGCAGUGAAAUGCGUAGAGAUGCGGAGGAACACCGAUGGCGAAGGCAGCCCCCUGGGCUAACACUGACGCUCAGGCACGAAAGCGUGGGGAGCAAACAGG